GCGGGUGUGAUCCUUGGAGGCAGAAAAGUCACACGGAGAAAAUGCUGCUUUCAGAUGUCCAUUCUGGGCUGGGGCAACAAAAAUGAGCCAAACUGGUGAAAACUGGCUGAAUUCCACCGCUGAGUGUACUCUACAGGUCUUUACAGAUGCAAAGUAGCACUAUGAACUGCAUCCAAUAGCUACUGGACAAGUCUGAGUGAAAACAGCUGAGAAGCAGUGCCAAGAAAGUAGAGAAAUUCAGAAAGAAAAAAAAAUCUGAACAUCAUUUUCAGCUUAAGAGAGAUAUCAGAUAUUUAGCCAGCUAUUCACUUUGCCCCAAUAGACACUAAAGUUCUGAUACAAACUUGGAGGCCCUUAAAUCUAUUUUUUCCCUCUCUGUGGCUAAGAAUAAAGAAAUCUCAAGGAAGGGCCCACAUGGGAGAGCUAUAAUUUGAUUUUUAUGUGUUUUUAUGAGCUUCUUGCAAAAUGUGUCAUGUUGUGUGCUCAAAGCCAUGUUUUUAUGAAUCCUGGUAAAUCUAUGUGAAAAACAGGUUUUCAGUUACUCAUAACUUUCUCUGCCAAAGAAACUUGUCUACUAUUUUUUCAAAAUAGAUUUUCUUCUUUUCUAGUGAUCAUGGAUUUAGGUCUAUUCCCUGUUCCACUGAAUCCUGAUGGACUCCCUGUUAAUAUGUUGCCCCCAGUUGGUUAUAUUCUGAAGUGGGUCACUUUUACAGUCCAAGACUGGAUUAAACCCCCACAGAUCCUUGUUGGGAACUAAUAUUUACAGUCAAUGCCCUCUUCUCUGUAACAGCCCCUCAGAUAUAGGAAGACAAUUAUCACGUCCCCCCCCCCAAUCCUUCUCUUUGAUAGGCUAGACACAUCUAGCUCCCUCAAUUGUUCAUCAUAUGAUUUAGCUUCCAUACUCUUUAUCAUCUUUGUUGCUCUUCUCUGUGCCCUUUUCAGGGUCCCAACACCAUUUUAAUAUUCUGCUGGCCAGAACUGUAUGCAUUAGUCCAAUAAUGGUCUCACUAAUACAGUAUAAAGUGAUAUUAUCACUUCUUGUGAAUCUGUAGGGACGUCUAGGCAGUUGCCAGGAGUCAAGAAUGACUUGAAGGUGUGUGCACACAUGCAUGCAUGCACGUGUUUGCAUGUACACCCACCACACACCCACCUACCCAGAUGCACCCUCCACAAGAUCUAAGCUCCCAGGCCAGCACCUUCACCACUUCAUCAUAUUGCUCCUUGGUUGAGAGAGAGGAACUAGCUCGAAGUUCCCCAGGAGACUGUUUGAUGGAGGAGGACUAAAACUUGUGUCUCCCUAUCCUGGUCCAGCACCUUAGCCACUAUAUCACAUUGGCUUCCCUUUAACCAGAACUGAGUAAUAUUUGAGAGCCAGUUUGAUGUAGCAUGUAAGGCACCAGGCUAGUAAAUAGGAGACCACAAGUUCUCAUCCAAUCUUAGACACAAAGCCAGCUGAGUAACCUUGGACCAGUUGCUUUUUC
Molecule: long non-coding RNA, 1481 nt
Organism: Crotalus tigris (Tiger rattlesnake)
Lineage: Eukaryota; Metazoa; Chordata; Lepidosauria; Squamata; Viperidae
Exons: 3
Source: RefSeq, a predicted model, not a curated record